Molecule: long non-coding RNA, 1093 nt
Organism: Toxorhynchites rutilus septentrionalis
Lineage: Eukaryota; Metazoa; Arthropoda; Insecta; Diptera; Culicidae
Exons: 3
Source: RefSeq, a predicted model, not a curated record
GCAGGCAAUGGUGAUUUUCACUUACAUAGAGUACUAAUUUGAUUAAGGAAAAAUCAUGUUCAUUCAUAAUUUUCAUUUUAAAAGUGUAUUCAUUCCUUCUGCAAAUCCAUACUGUCAUGCCUAUUCCCCAAUAUCGCCAACGCGGAUAGUUCGUUAGUCGAAAAUACUGAAUAAUUAAACAAACCAAAUGGCAUCACUGGUGGUUCUUUUUUCCACUCCGCUAAACUGUCAUCUCAAACAAAAACAAAUGGAUCAUACAACUGCUAUGAAUACAUUCGACUCGUUUGCUUCCAUCAAUCGGUAAGCGAGAAAGAUGAUUUCUCCCAUCACCACAGUGCGGAUUUCCACUUCUAUCACAGCAGCCAACAACAUCCGUUUUCCUGCAGCAGUAACCUCCAACCCCUGUUGGCAAUGCCGGGGGACAGCAUUAACAGCAGCAGCAGCAGAAUUUGACCAUGGUAUUGCGAAGAACUUUCCCCAUUAGAGGUUCCGUGCUUCGCGCACAUUCAAAAAUCCUCUUCAGACACGAAAACUCAACGACAAGGAGGUAUUUAUCAACUUCUCAGCUGAAUUACCACUCGGAAGAACCCGAAUGCACUGAUUCCGUUGUAUAGUAGAAUGAAAAUAGGCGAGGUAAGCGAACGUAAUCGCAUGAUAUUUUAAUGUUCGCAUUUUUAUCCGGAUCAUACAACUGCUAAGAAUACAUCCGACUCAAUCAAUCGGCGAAUGAGAAAGAUGAUUUCCCUCAUCACCACAUUGCUUAUUUCCACUUCUGUCACACCAGCCAACAGCAUCAGCUUUCCCGCAGCAGUAUCCUUUAAGUCCAGGGUGCUAUUCCGGGGAACAGCAUCAACAGUAACAGCAGCAGGACCUGGCCAUCGAUAGUAUUUCGAGCAAUUUUCCCCAUCGGAGAUCCCGUGCUUCACGCACAUUGAAGAAUCCUCCUCAGCCACAUAUCUGUGUCAUCAAGGGCAAGGAGGUAUUCAUCAAUGUACUCAGUCGGAUUUGAAUCGUCAAUCCAGACAACCCGGAUGCACCGAUUCCAUUCUAUACCUUAUUUUUAUUAUACAUGGAUUUUUAUUAUUUUUUUUCA